GAUGAACGCUGGCGGCGUGCCUAACACAUGCAAGUCGAGCGGCAGCACGGGGUGCUUGCACCCUUUCGGCUAGCGGCGGACGGCUGAGUAACGCGUGGAUACGUUCCCCAUAUUACGGAGUAAAUGCCGGAAAGGGUAGCUAAUUACGCAUGUUAUCUUCGUAUCGCAGGAUUCAUCCGCUUUUGGAGCGUUUCGCGUCGGAUUUGGUAGUUGGUGAGUUAGUGGCUCACCGAGGUGAGGUUCCGUAAAUGGGCUGAGAGGAUGACCAGCCACACUGGAACUGAGACACGGUCCAGACUCCGAAGGGAGGCAACAGUAGGGAAUCUUACGCAAUGAGCGAAAGCCUGAUCGAGCAACACCGCGUGAGUGAUGAAGGAGUUCGGCUGGUAAAACGCUGUUGGUCGGAAAGAAGAAAAGUGCUUUUAUAAGUGAGGGAUAUGACGGUAACUAAUGAAUAAGCACCGGCUAACUACGUG
This 476-nucleotide ribosomal RNA is filed under the name uncultured bacterium. RNAcentral's name for it is "partial 16S ribosomal RNA". It matches the Rfam family "Bacterial small subunit ribosomal RNA", at positions 28 to 507 of the family's 1533-position model. The record is from RNAcentral.